ACGUAUUCUCUUCCAUCGCAGGAGCUGGCUGUGCGCACAGAUUAGCGGCGUUACGGUAUUUGGCAUCAUCCUCUCUGCGCACCGUGCCUGGCAGCGGCUCAACUCUCGGCUUCUGCAGACACCGUGGUCGGAGAAUGCGCUCUUCUCCGUGGAGCAGUCGGUCUCUGUUGCUUCAUAUGAGCGCACGGGAUGAUUGCGCGUCGCGGAGCGGUUAUUUACCACCGAGGCUUUCUAGGGGGGUUUGAGCGCCAAGAAGGAGCUGACAGACAGACAGACAAACAGACGGAGGGAGCCUGUGGUCUUCAGGCAAAGGGGGGUGGGUUUCUCGACUGCGCUGCGCAGACAAGCGGCGGAGCGGACAGCCUCUGCAAACCUCCUCCUCUUCCUCCUCCACAACAACACGGGACAAGAGGAAGAAGGAAAGACAGAGGAGGAGACGUGCAGGAGGUCUGUGGGGUUGAAAUCUGGACACAUACGGCGGUAAAAUGACGAUGUCCGUCCCGGAGAGGAAAUCAGGAUCGGAGGGGAAGGAGGAGGAGAGCGAGGACGAGAGUGAGAUUCUG
This is a long non-coding RNA of Poecilia latipinna (sailfin molly), 563 nucleotides long. RefSeq lists it as uncharacterized. Lineage: Eukaryota; Metazoa; Chordata; Actinopteri; Cyprinodontiformes; Poeciliidae. The record is from RefSeq and is a predicted model, not a curated record. The transcript is spliced from 2 exons.